Molecule: ribosomal RNA, 1344 nt
Filed under: uncultured bacterium
Lineage: Bacteria
Description: 16S ribosomal RNA
Rfam family: Bacterial small subunit ribosomal RNA
Source: RNAcentral
GACGAACGCUGGCGGCGUGCUUAACACAUGCAAGUCGAACGGAAAGGCCCUGCUUUUGUGGGGUGCUCGAGUGGCGAACGGGUGAGUAACACGUGAGUAACCUGCCCUUGACUUUGGGAUAACUUCAGGAAACUGGGGCUAAUACCGGAUAGGAGCUCCUGCUGCAUGGUGGGGGUUGGAAAGUUUCGGCGGUUGGGGAUGGACUCGCGGCUUAUCAGCUUGUUGGUGGGGUAGUGGCUUACCAAGGCUUUGACGGGUAGCCGGCCUGAGAGGGUGACCGGCCACAUUGGGACUGAGAUACGGCCCAGACUCCUACGGGAGGCAGCAGUGGGGAAUAUUGCACAAUGGGCGGAAGCCUGAUGCAGCAACGCCGCGUGCGGGAUGACGGCCUUCGGGUUGUAAACCGCUUUCGCCUGUGACGAAGCGUGAGUGACGGUAAUGGGCAAAGAAGCACCGGCUAACUACGUGCCAGCAGCCGCGGUGAUACGUAGGGUGCGAGCGUUGUCCGGAUUUAUUGGGCGUAAGGGGCUCGUAGGUGGUUGAUCGCGUCGGAAGUGUAAUCUUGGGGCUUAACCCUGAGCGUGCUUUCGAUACGGGUUGACUUGAGGAAGGUAGGGGAGAAUGGAAUUCCUGGUGGGAGCGGUGGAAUGCGCAGAUAUCAGGAGGAACACCAGUGGCGAAGGCGGUUCUCUGGGCCUUUCCUGACGCUGAGGAGCGAAAGCGUGGGGAGCGAACAGGCUUAGAUACCCUGGUAGUCCACGCUGUAAACGGUGGGUACUAGGUGUGGGGUCCAUUCCACGGGUUCCGUGCCGUAGCUAACGCUUUAAGUACCCCGCCUGGGGAGUACGGCCGCAAGGCUAAAACUCAAAGGAAUUGACGGGGCCCCGCACAAGCGGCGGAGCAUGCGGAUUAAUUCGAUGCAACGCGUAGAACCUUACCUGGGUUUGACAUGGAUCGGGAGUGCUCAGAGAUGGGUGUGCCUCUUUUGGGGUCGGUUCACAGGUGGUGCAUGCCUGUCGUCAGCUCGUGUCGUGAGAUGUUGGGUUAAGUCCCGCAACGAGCGCAACCCUUGUUCACUGUUGCCAGCACGUUAUGGUGGGGACUCAGUGGAGACCGCCGGGGUCAACUCGGAGGAAGGUGGGGAUGACGUCAAGUCAUCAUGCCCCUUAUGUCCAGGGCUUCACGCAUGCUACAAUGGCUGGUACAGAGAGUGGCGAGCCUGUGAGGGUGAGCGAAUCUCGGAAAGCCGGCCUCAGUUCGGAUUGGGGUCUGCAACUCGACCUCAUGAAGUCGGAGUCGCUAGUAAUCGCAGAUCAGCAACGCUGCGGUGAAUACGUUCCCGGG